Lagenorhynchus albirostris (white-beaked dolphin) is the source of this 500-nucleotide non-coding RNA. The record is from the annotation of a RefSeq genome assembly. Lineage: Eukaryota; Metazoa; Chordata; Mammalia; Artiodactyla; Delphinidae.
AAGGCAGCGUCUGGGGCGUCUCCACCAUGGCCUGGGCUCUGCUCCUUGUCACCCUCCUCACUCAGGACACAGGAUCCUGGGCCCAGUCUGGCCUGACUCAGCCUCCCUCAGUGUCCGGGAAUCUGGGACAGACGGUCACCAUCUCUUGUGCUGGAACCAGCAGUGACAUAGGGAAAUAUAACUAUGUCGGCUGGUACCAACAGCUCCCAGGCACGGCCCCCAAAACCCUGAUUUAUGAUGUCAAUAAACGGCCCUCAGGGAUCCCUGAUCGCUUCUCUGGCUCCAAGUCUGGCAACACGGCCUCCCUGACCAUCUCUGGGCUCCAGGCUGAGGACGAGGCCGAUUAUUACUGUAGCUCAGCUAGAAGUGGUAACACUGUGCACAGUGGUCCAAGUUCAUUGGGAAAGACCUUGGAGAUAGACAUCCAGCAGAGGGCGCUGCAGAAUGUCCCCUGCACUGUGGUUCCCAGAGACACAGUCCUGUCCCAGCAGAGACCCUGA